UUCGCCUGGGGACAACGAGCUUUAGCUUAAAAUCCAAAGGACUUGGCGGUGCUUUAGACCCCCCUAGAGGAGCCUGUUCUGUAAUCGAUACUCCCCGCUAAACCUUACCUCCUCUUGCAAUUUCAGCCUAUAUACCGCCGUCUUCAGCUUACCCUGUGAAGGACUAAUAGUAAGCAAAAUCGGUAGAACCCAACACGUCAGGUCAAGGUGUAGCCCAUGAGGAGGGCUAGAAAUGGGCUACAUUUGCUGACUCAGCAAACACGGAGGCCGCCCUGCAAAUGGGUGUCUGAAGGUGGAUUUAGCAGUAAGGGGGAAAUAGAGAGCCCCCCUGAAGCAGGCCCUGAAGCGCGUACACACCGCCCGUCACUCUCCCCUAGCAAGCCCCAAACAAUAAAUAAUGAUACAGCAAAAACCGAGGGGGGGCAAGUCGUAACAUGGUAAGCAUACCGGAAGGUGUGCUUGGACAAACCC
Molecule: ribosomal RNA, 471 nt
Filed under: Thorogobius ephippiatus (leopard-spotted goby)
Lineage: Eukaryota; Metazoa; Chordata; Actinopteri; Gobiiformes; Gobiidae
Description: partial 12S ribosomal RNA
Rfam family: Bacterial small subunit ribosomal RNA
Source: RNAcentral